GAUGAACGCUAGCUACAGGCUUAACACAUGCAAGUCGAGGGGCAGCAUGACGAUAGCUUGCUAUUGUUGAUGGCGACCGGCGCACGGGUGAGUAACGCGUAUCCAACCUGCCCUUGUCCACCGGAUAACUCGUCGAAAGGCGGACUAACACGGUAUGCAUUCCACAGCAGACAUCUAACGUGGACGAAAUGUGAAGGAGAAGGUUGGGGAUGCGUCUGAUUAGCUUGUUGGCGGGGUAACGGCCCACCAAGGCGACGAUCAGUAGGGGUUCUGAGAGGAAGGUCCCCCACAUUGGAACUGAGACACGGUCCAAACUCCUACGGGAGGCAGCAGUGAGGAAUAUUGGUCAAUGGGCGAGAGCCUGAACCAGCCAAGUAGCGUGCAGGAAGACGGCCCUAUGGGUUGUAAACUGCUUUUAUACGGGGAUAAAGUGAGUUACGUGUGGCUUAUUGCAGGUACCGUAUGAAUAAGGACCGGCUAAUUCCGUGCCAGCCGCCGCCGUAA
This 504-nucleotide ribosomal RNA is filed under the name uncultured bacterium. RNAcentral describes it as "partial 16S ribosomal RNA". It matches the Rfam family "Bacterial small subunit ribosomal RNA", at positions 28 to 523 of the family's 1533-position model. The record is from RNAcentral.